Long non-coding RNA from Paramormyrops kingsleyae, 1486 nucleotides. RefSeq lists it as uncharacterized. Lineage: Eukaryota; Metazoa; Chordata; Actinopteri; Osteoglossiformes; Mormyridae. The record is from RefSeq and is a predicted model, not a curated record.
GGAGCGCAGAUCUGCAUCAGUCUGAUGUUUUUCCCCCAAGCGGGAUUAUAUUUAGUUUAGUGAACUUUUGAGGUUCUGUUUUAGCGCGAUAAGGCGGGUUCAAGCUUGGGUUUGGUUUUACCUACUAUAGUGUGUGCAAAGUUCACUUGAAAUGCAUAACAAAUGUCGAGCACAUACAUGGCGGUCCAUACUGCUUUUCGUAAUGCGGGAUUUUCAUUACUUUGGAAGGGCAAUGGCGAUCUGCCGUGAAGUUAGGAAAUGAGAUGUUUGCAGCACUGAAAAUCAUGCCGUUUGCAGUCUUUGUCAACGAUCCCCACCAGCCCCAUUGACUCCGUGUGUUUACGUGGCUUGAAGUGCUUGUUGCGGUGGUCAGAGAAAAAGUUCAUCUUGGUUUUGUUAAACAAUGACUCAUGCCUGGCACCUUUAUAGCAGAUGGUGUACACCUCCAUCUAUCUCGACAGUUGCCUUUAACGCUGAACAGAUGACUUCAUACAAACGGUUAAAAAUCGACAAAGACCUUUGGGUUCAUUUUAAAAGCUAAUUAUGAAAUACAUUGCAGGGAAGUAGGUUCGUACAAGUAAAGAAAGAUUUUGUAAGAAACAUGUUUUCAGUCUGUUCGCAGGUGCGCGUUGGUGUUGUAGAUCACAAACACAAAAUCCAGGGCUGCAAACUGCUCAGCUGCCUGGAAUGAGAUUUUCAAUUCUUCGAGAGACAAGUCUGCAAGUACAUCCGCGGGAAGGAGCCUGGAGUCGGUCCCAGACUGCAUGGAUCGCAAGGCUGGGGAUCUUCCCAGACAGGGUGCCUGUGUACCACGAGAAACAGGCAUUCACACACUCCCAAUACCAAGAUACAGGCAAUAUAGAGAUAUCAGGAUGGCAAACACUCUUGUCUCCAGGCUGCAGUAGGAAACCAGAGGACCUGGAACCUGUGCAACACAGGGGCCACAUGUGAACCCCAGAAAUCAUCAAAGGGGUCACAUUGUCCUGGGAGAUAAAGAUAUGGACCAGUAAGGACAUGGACUGGUAAGCAAGAACCUCAAGCUUCCAAUGUGAAGAGGGCAACCAAGGGAGGCGCCGCACUGUCGCAAUGUGUGAGGAGUGGGCUGGUGCUAAGGAUGCCGUCUGGUUAACACGACAUGAACACCGUAAGAAAAGUGAGGACAAGAAGACCAGCAAUUCACAAUGAACAAAGAUUAAGAUUGGACUGUUAAGCAAUUGUUUUUUUUAAUCGCGAUUAAUCGCAUACACAAGUAAGUUUCAAUAACAAAAAACGUUUUAGUCUGUUUUAUAGCAAUUAAAUUCUACUGACUGCCUUUAUUCGCACUAUUCUCCCAUUGGGGUAUCAAAAUUAAUGCAGUUAACGUGAUCAAAUAAAAUAACAUAUUAGGACUUCAAAGCACCUUUUAUAAGAUAUAUUAUUAUUAUUUGUAAUUGUUUCAUUAUAUGAAAAUGUCACAUAUUAAAUUAUUUGUUGUUGUGUUACACAG